AGUGUUCGUCGUCGAUGAUCGUACGUCAAGUCCUCGUAAAAUUUGCCCGCGUGCCGGUUACACGGUUCGCGCGUGUAUAACGGAAAAUCGUGCGUCUCGUCUGCAUUUUUGCGGAUUCGCGAGAUCGAGGACGUCGCGUGUGGAGGAAACAUUAUCGUGUUUUUGGAAACUUAACGAGAGAUGGCAGAUCUAUCGGAGGAAGUGCCGAUCAAGGAUGCCGCGACGGCGAUCUCCCAGGGCAAACGCCACCUCCUAGUACGCGAUUACAACCUGGCAGUGGUCGUCUUAGCCCAAGCUUGCGAGCUUCUUGCCCAGGAACACGGAGAGACGGGCGACGAGAUGGGUGAACUCUAUCUGCUUUACGGACGAGCCCUUCUAGGUCUGGCACGCGAAGAGGCAGGAGUAUUGGGGGGCGGCGUGCCUGGCUCCGAAGAAGUUAGUCAGGACGAAGGAGUUAGUCAGGGAGAAGAGGAGGAUGAGGAAGACGAGAAUGAAGAGGGGACCAUCGCAGAAAACAAGAAUGGUAUGGAAAAUAGUCCUUGCACAUCGAAUGAUAAAGAAGAUGAUAAACGUGAACUGAAAGAGAGUGAAGAUCCAAAUAGUGAGCAGGACGAGAAGUCAGAGAAGACGGAGAAUUCUGAUAAAACAAUCGAUAGCAAAGUAGAGGAAAACACACAAAAAGAAGAAAUUCCUGGCUGUAGUCGAGAUCCUGAUGUAUAUAAUGGCGAAGCUUCUGGAAGUGGUACAAAAAGAGAAGACGAUGAGGAAGACGGAGAGGCAGAAGAGGAAGACGUUGAGAAGGAGGACGACGUGAAUAAUUUACAGAUCGCUUGGGAAGUCUUGGAACUGGCGAAAUUGGUACUGCUAAAACGUGGGUCCUCAGGUUGGAAAUUGUUAGCUGAGGCAUAUCGUCUUCUGGGCGAGGUAGCGAUGGAAGGUGGCAACCAUGAAAGCGCACUGAUUGAUUUCAAAGCGUGCUUGAAUCUGUUGGAGAAAAUAACUCCACGCGACCAUCGUGCAAUUGCCGAAAUCCAUUAUCAGCUCGGAUUGACUCAUGCAAUGGCAAACAAUUUCGAUGCCAGCAUCGAGGAAUUCAACCAGGCAUCCGCGUUACUAGAGGCGAAGAUUGUACAACUGAAGACAGUGCAGGAUGAUCCACCUCAAUCCGAUGAUCCUUUCUACACUGUUGAAGGUGAAAUCAAGGAACUGCAAGAACUUCUUCCAGAGAUCCAAGAAAAAAUCGCGGACAUCAAAGAUAUGAAAAAAGAAGCCGAUGUAAUCAAGGAGAUUAAGGAAGAGAGGUUGAAUGGAUGCUCUAAAGAUGGCGAGGCGAGCGAAGCUUCCGGAAGUGGUAGUAAUACAUCUAAGCCCGCUAGCGAUAUUUCACAUUUAGUAAGAAAAAAACGCAAGGCAGAAGAUGAAGAAGACAUUGGUUCUGUUUGCAAAAAACCACUCCAAGAAAAAGACGUGAAAGAAUUAAUAAACAUGACUGAAGAGAAAUGUGCAAAGAAACUCAAGCUUGAGGAAUUUCCUGUUUUAAGCGAAGGGAAAGCACAGAUAAUAAUUACGAAUAAAAAAGUCUUUUAUAAUCCAGUUCAAGAAUUCAACAGAGAUCUCAGUAUAGCGGUAUUAACAAUAUUUGCACAAGACAGAUGGAACAAAAUGAUAGAAAAAAAUAAUUUAACAAAUGACAAUAAAACUACUAUAUUACUUGAUACCGGAUUGAAUACAAACAAGCAAGAGGGAAUUACUAUAUUGGAAGCUUUAUCUGCAACAGGUUUGCGUAGCAUACGAUAUGCAAAAGAAGUGAAAGGUAUCAAGCAGAUUGUAGCCAACGAUAUUUCUGCUAAAGCAGUGGACAGUAUCAGACAUAAUGUCUUGCAUAAUGGAGUUGAGAAUUUAGUAACGCCUCAUCAUGAGGAUGCGACAUUGUUGAUGUAUCAGCGUAGACGAAAUCGUUUUGAUGCAGUUGAUUUAGAUCCAUAUGGCUGUCCAUCGAUGUAUCUGGAUGGAGCAGUGCAAUGUGUAGCUGAUGGUGGUAUACUUUUGGUUACUGCUACUGAUAUGGCUGUACUAGCUGGCAAUACUCCGGAAACUUGUUAUUACAAGUAUGGAGCAAUAUCUAUAAAAUCAAAGUCUUGUCACGAGAUAGCGUUACGGAUAUUACUUCAAUGCAUUGCAUCUUAUGCUGGACGAUAUGGACGAUAUAUAGUACCAUUACUAUCUAUAAGUAUUGAUUUUUAUAUAAGAGUAUUUGUCAAAGUCUUCACAGGCCAUAAUAAGUGUAAAGAAAACUCUAGCAAAAUAGGGAUGCUUUAUCAGUGCAAUGGAUGUGAAAGUAUGAGCUUUCAACCAUUAGCAACAAAAAGAUCUUCCAAUAAUUAUAAAUUACCAAAUGCACCUACAGUAGAUCAGCUAUGUAAACAUUGUCAAUAUCGGCAACAUAUGGCAGGUCCAAUAUGGCUAGGAUCUUUACAUGAUCAAGAAUUCGUAUCGCAACUGUUAUGCAACUUGAAUAAUAUAGAGUUAGGUACAUCGAAAAGAAUGGAAGGUGUCUUGACCAUGAUACACGAGGAACUAGAUGUUCCAUUGUAUUAUACGCUGGAUCGCUUGAUGAGCAUAGUUAAAUGUGAUGUUCCAUCAAUAUUGAAAUUCAGAUCUGCGUUAUUAAACGCAGGAUACAAAGUAUCAUAUUCACACGCAAGUAAAACUUCCAUUAAAACGGACGCGUCUAAUGAUGUGAUAUGGGAUAUUGUACGUGCUUGGGAGAAGGAGCAUCCUGCAAAACGCGAGAAACUAGCUGAGGAUAGUCCAGCUGCACGUAUACUUAAUGCAUCGUUUACGAGGGAUAUUUCUUUCGCAGAACAUCCUCUAGCAAAUCCAAUUUCUCGUCAGAGACACUUAUCACGCUUUCAACAAAAUCCCACUGUAAAUUGGGGGCCAGGCGUUCGUGCAACAAUCCGAGUAGAUCUUGAAAAUAAGGCAGAGUCGAAAAAAAUUGUUUGUUGCCAACGAUCAUAAUGCCUGAUAUUCCAACAGUAACGUUUUCCAAUGGAUAUAAAAUGCCGAUGUUGGGUCUUGGAACUUAUAAGUCCGAGAAUAAGGAUGUAGGAAACGCUGUUAAGGAAG
Molecule: unclassified non-coding RNA, 3129 nt
Filed under: Camponotus floridanus (Florida carpenter ant)
Lineage: Eukaryota; Metazoa; Arthropoda; Insecta; Hymenoptera; Formicidae
Description: probable tRNA (guanine(26)-N(2))-dimethyltransferase, transcript variant X1
Source: RNAcentral